Molecule: transfer RNA, 70 nt
Filed under: Leiolepis guttata (spotted butterfly lizard)
Lineage: Eukaryota; Metazoa; Chordata; Lepidosauria; Squamata; Agamidae
Also listed under: 1 other name
Description: tRNA-Trp
Rfam family: tRNA
About the family: Transfer RNA (tRNA) molecules are approximately 80 nucleotides in length. Their secondary structure includes four short double-helical elements and three loops (D, anti-codon, and T loops).
Source: RNAcentral
AAGGAUUUAGGAUAAUAUUAAACCAAGGACCUUCAAAGCCCUAAACAGGAGUCAAAUCUCUUAAUCCUUG